CCUACGGGAGGCAGCAGUGAGGAAUAUUGGACAAUGGGCGCAAGCCUGAUCCAGCCAUGCCGCGUGCAGGAUGACGGUCCUAUGGAUUGUAAACUGCUUUUAUACGAGAAGAAACACCCCUACGUGUAGGGACUUGACGGUAUCGUAAGAAUAAGGAUCGGCUAACUCCGUGCCAGCAGCCGCGGUAAUACGGAGGAUCCAAGCGUUAUCCGGAAUCAUUGGGUUUAAAGGGUCCGUAGGCGGUUUAGUAAGUCAGUGGUGAAAUCUUCCCGCUCAACGGGGAAACGGCCAUUGAUACUGCUAGACUUGAAUUAUUAGGAAGUAACUAGAAUAUGUAGUGUAGCGGUGAAAUGCUUAGAGAUUACAUGGAAUACCAAUUGCGAAGGCAGGUUACUACUAAUGGAUUGACGCUGAUGGACGAAAGCGUGGGUAGCGAACAGGAUUAGAUACCCUGGUAGUCCACGCCGUAAACGAUGGAUACUAGCUGGUUGGGUGACAACUCAGUGGCUAAGCGAAGUGAUAAGUACUCCCACCGUACGGGUAGGUACGUUACGUCGAAGAAGUAGAACGUACAAUAGUAAGUUAGUACGGCGUGAGACGUGACGACGGACGACGACGAGGGAGGUUAGG
RNAcentral lists this ribosomal RNA (630 nucleotides) under uncultured bacterium. RNAcentral's name for it is "bacterial SSU rRNA". The stretch from base 1 to 534 matches the Rfam family "Bacterial small subunit ribosomal RNA", at positions 338 to 873 of the family's 1533-position model. The record is from RNAcentral.